Molecule: ribosomal RNA, 327 nt
Filed under: uncultured eukaryote
Lineage: Eukaryota
Description: partial 18S ribosomal RNA
Rfam family: Eukaryotic small subunit ribosomal RNA
Source: RNAcentral
CCCUUAGAUGUUCUGGGCCGCACGCGCGCUACACUGACGGAUUCAACGAGCUUACAACCUUGGCCGAAAGGUCUGGGUAAUCUCCAAAAUCCGUCGUGAUGGGGAUAGAUUAUUGCAAUUAUUAAUCUUCAACGAGGAAUGCCUAGUAAGCGCAAGUCAUCAGCUUGCGCUGAUUACGUCCCUGCCCUUUGUACACACCGCCCGUCGCUCCUACCGAUUGAAUGGUCCGGUGAAGCGUUUGGACUAUGGUUUUCUGAUGGUCCGCCGUUGGAUUACCGUGGGAAGUUCGUUAAACCUUAUCAUUUAGAGGAAGGAGAAGUCGUAACA